RNAcentral lists this ribosomal RNA (720 nucleotides) under Pseudoclavibacter helvolus. Its description in RNAcentral is "bacterial SSU rRNA". It matches the Rfam family "Bacterial small subunit ribosomal RNA", at positions 398 to 1131 of the family's 1533-position model. Lineage: Bacteria; Bacillati; Actinomycetota; Actinomycetes; Micrococcales; Microbacteriaceae. The record is from RNAcentral.
CGCGUGAGGGAUGACGGCCUUCGGGUUGUAAACCUCUUUUAGUAGGGAAGAAGCGAAAGUGACGGUACCUGCAGAAAAAGCACCGGCUAACUACGUGCCAGCAGCCGCGGUAAUACGUAGGGUGCAAGCGUUGUCCGGAAUUAUUGGGCGUAAAGAGCUCGUAGGCGGUUUGUCGCGUCUGCUGUGAAAUCCCGAGGCUCAACCUCGGGUCUGCAGUGGGUACGGGCAGACUAGAGUGUGGUAGGGGAGAUUGGAAUUCCUGGUGUAGCGGUGGAAUGCGCAGAUAUCAGGAGGAACACCGAUGGCGAAGGCAGAUCUCUGGGCCAUUACUGACGCUGAGGAGCGAAAGCAUGGGGAGCGAACAGGAUUAGAUACCCUGGUAGUCCAUGCCGUAAACGUUGGGCGCUAGAUGUGGGGACCAUUCCACGGUUUCCGUGUCGUAGCUAACGCAUUAAGCGCCCCGCCUGGGGAGUACGGCCGCAAGGCUAAAACUCAAAGGAAUUGACGGGGGCCCGCACAAGCGGCGGAGCAUGCGGAUUAAUUCGAUGCAACGCGAAGAACCUUACCAAGGCUUGACAUAUACCGGAAACGUUCAGAAAUGUUCGCCCCGCAAGGUCGGUAUACAGGUGGUGCAUGGUUGUCGUCAGCUCGUGUCGUGAGAUGUUGGGUUAAGUCCCGCAACGAGCGCAACCCUCGUCGUAUGUUGCCAGCACGUAAUGG